CAACGUUUAUAUCCAGAACCUGGACUACAUCCUGGACAGCAAGGGGGUCCAUUUAACCAAUGAGGAGCUGCAAGAGGUGCUGAAACAUUUGACCGUUGAUGCUGACGGAAAGGUGAAUAUGGGUAAAUUUAUGAAGGAGGUGAAAAAUGUCCAGAAAUUGUCCCUGGAAGGAGACCAAGUGCGGUCUCCAUCGCCAGAGGACAAAGUGGAUGUGGGGAACCUGGACUCUGUGCUGGCCAACAUGGGGAUCCGUUUAACCCAGGAGGAGAUGCAGGAGGCGCUGAAGCACAGCCCGGUUGACAG
Dermochelys coriacea (leatherback sea turtle) is the source of this 303-nucleotide long non-coding RNA. RefSeq lists it as uncharacterized. NCBI's taxonomy places the organism in Eukaryota, Metazoa, Chordata, Testudines, Dermochelyidae. The record is from RefSeq and is a predicted model, not a curated record. The transcript has 3 exons.